GCGCCCCCUGUGCUGACUCUUGUGGACUACGGUUCCCAGUAGAUCCUCGGGAGCUGAGGACGGCGCAGGUCGGAAGCUGCACGGCUCAUGGUGUGUUCUUCACACGGCAGGAUGGACUGGAGGAGCAGCGCUGGUGGUGGCUCCCUCUACUGUCCCGUGAGUGACAGCGCAGCCGUGCCCCAGGUGUGACACCUGACCUGCGCCGGCACUUCCUCCUUACCUGUGCACUGUCUUGUGUCGGGGACGCUGGAGACGGGUCAUCUAGUGGGGGCUGCGCUCCCAUAGUAUGGAGAGAGCCAUGGAGCAGCUCAAUCGUCUGACCCGAUCCCUGCGCCGAGCCCGCACCGUGGAGCUGCCGGAAGAUAAUGAAACUGCUGUUUACACCUUGAUGCCGAUGGUAAUGGCUGAUCAGCACAGGUCUGUUCAGGAAUUGCUUUUAAAUUCUAAGUUUGAUGUCAACUACGCCUUUGGAAGAGUAAAACGAAGUUUACUUCAUAUUGCUGCCAAUUGCGGCUCUGUGGAGUGUUUAGUUCUGCUUCUGAAGAGAGGAGCCAACCCAAACUAUCAAGAUAUCUCGGGAUGCACACCUCUUCAUUUGGCAGCACGAAAUGGGCAAAAGAAAUGCAUGAGCAAACUCCUGGAGUAUAAUGCGGAUGUCAACAUUUGCAACAAUGAGGGCCUGACCGCUAUCCACUGGCUGGCUGUAAAUGGACGGACCGAGCUCCUGCAUGACCUUGUGCAGCACGUCAGCAAUGUGGACGUGGAAGAUGCUAUGGGGCAGACGGCUCUGCACGUGGCCUGUCAGAAUGGGCACAAGACGACGGUGUUAUGUCUAUUGGACAGUGGAGCAGAUAUAAACAGGCCUAAUGUGUCUGGAGCCACCCCAUUGUAUUUUGCUUGCAGCCAUGGACAAAGAGAUACGGCACAGAUAUUAUUAGUGCGAGGCGCAAAGUACCUGCCGGAUAAGAAUGGUGUUACUCCACUGGAUCUUUGUGUGCAGGGUGGUUAUGGAGAAACCUGUGACAUACUUAUACAACAUCAUCCUAGACUUUUUCAGACGUUGAUUCAGAUGACUCAGAAUGAAGAGCUUCGGGAAAAUAUGUUACGGCAGGUCCUUGAGCAUUUGUCACAACAAAAUGAAAGCCAGUACCACAAUAUACUUACAAGCCUUGCUGAAGUUGCCACUACAAAUGGUCACAAACUCUUAAGUCUUUCCAGUAGUUAUGAAGCUCAAAUGAAGAGUCUGCUGCGGAUUGUGCGGCUAUUUUGCCAUGUUUUUCGCCUUGGGCCUUCUUCCCCCAGUAAUGGAAAUGACAUGGGCUACAAUGGAAACAAAACGCCAAGAAACCAGGUGUUCAAGGUCAGAAAAGUAUAUGACGUUUUUAGGAAGAUAGACGUAAAAGAGAUGAAUGUGACAAAGCAUGCACUCAUUUAUCACACCCCUACUGAACAGGACCCUCUCGAGUUACUUUGGCAUUCCUUAGAUGAAUGGCUUGUGCUCAUUGCCACUGAACUGACGAGAAACAAGAGAGACUCUAGCAACAUCGCUUGCAUUUUACUCAAGCAAAAGCCAUUGGAUCAACAAGAUUUUUCUCUCGAUCAUCAAUCAACUUUUGGAGAGAAUGGAAGCACAGAACAUCUCUCAGUAUCUCCGAGCACUGCGGACUUUGAGAACUGUGAAAAUGCUGGGAAGCAGGAAGCUGUCGCAGAUGGUCAGGAUGUUAUCUCAAUGACCGCAAACAGGCUCAGCGCUGUCAUUCAGGCCUUCUAUAUGUGCUGCUCUUGCCAGAUGCCUCAAGGGAUGACUUCUCCAAGAUUUAUUGAAUUUGUCUGCAAACAUGAUGAAGUUCUGAAAUGUUUUGUCACAAGAAACCCUACAAUCAUAUUUGAUCACUUUCAUUUCUUGUUGGAGUGUCCUGAACUAAUGUCAAGGUUUAUGCACAUCAUCAAAGCUCAGUCUUUUAAGGAGCGCUGUGAAUGGUUCUAUGAACACCUCCUUGCUGGGCAGCCAGAUACUGAUAUGGUGCACAGGCCUGUCGGUGAGAACGACAUAUUGCUGGUUCAUAGAGAUUCUAUUUUUAGGAGUAGCUGUGAAGUGGUCUUUAAAUCAAAUAGUGAAAAGCUGAAGCAGGGGAUUGCUGUGCGGUUCCAUGGGGAAGAAGGCAUGGGACAAGGAGUUGUACGGGAGUGGUUUGAUAUUUUGUCUUCUGAAAUCAUCAAUCCUGACUAUGCUCUUUUCACACAAUCUGCAGAUGGAACAACUUUCCAGCCAAAUAGUAACUCGUCAGUAAAUCCGGACCACUUGAACUAUUUUCGAUUUGCUGGUGAAAUCUUGGGACUUGCACUUUAUCACAGACAGCUGGUCAACAUUUACUUCACCCGGUCAUUUUACAAGCACAUCCUUGGUAUCCCAGUAAAUUAUCAGGACGUGGCCUCCAUUGACCCAGAAUACGCAAAGAACUUGCAGUGGAUUUUAGAUAAUGAUAUUAGUGACCUGGGACUGGAACUUACUUUCUCCGUGGAGACUGAUGUGUUUGGAGCUAUGGAAGAAGUGCCCCUAAAACCAGGAGGGGCGAGCAUAGUUGUUACACAGGAGAACAAGGCAGAAUAUGUCCAGCUUGUUACUGAACUUCGCAUGACAAGAGCCAUUCAGCCACAAAUCAAUGGAUUUUUGCAGGGGUUCCACAUGUUCAUACCACCUUCUUUAAUACAGCUUUUUGAUGAAUUUGAGCUGAAUCUUUCAUCACAGUGCAUUUUUAUCUAUUAAACGGUGUGAUGCCGCCGUCAUCUAGUAUGUUAUGAAAUAAACAACAGUGCUUUGAAAGAAUAAAUGCUUUAUGGUGGUUAGCACAGUACGGCAUUCCUGAUAUUUUUCCUCUGGCAUCCAGCAGUCAUAUGUACAAUAGUACCAACAAUGUAUUAUCUAUUAUCUUUCUGUGCAUAUUCCGAAUUGUCUUCUAAAUGUAAUCUACAGAGUAAAUAAAUCCAAUGUGCUGUGAAGGGCCCCAGUGCAAAUAAGCUUUUCUGUAAUUGCAAGAUAGGAAGCUAGCAUUGCUGCACAUAGCGCAUCGCAAAGAUACACAUUAUUAACUAGCAAAAGAUAAAUAUGCACAGUCAGUCCUCUUAAUUUCCUAAUACAAUUCUGGAGCACAUUGUGGCCCUCGCAGGGGGACAAAUAAGACACUUAUUAAUUGUUUACAUUUAUUAUCUGGAUUAUAGCACACAUUUUACAUGGAAAUCAGUUUGCAAUGGAAAGACUAGAGUUGCACUGUGCAAUUUAACAUCUCACUAUAUAUGUGCUGGCUCUGAGCUUUUGAAAUCUACUUCACAUUAAUUUUUUCUCAUAGUCUUUGAUAUUUCGGUAACAUGCAUGUCAGUGCUGUUAUUGCAAUUUUAAAUUACACUACAGAGGCAUUGAAAAUGAAGGAGGAAAGCUCUAGAGCUGUGCCAUGUACUUAUUUGAGGACUAACACAUUUGUUUGAAUUAUUAAAUAGGCUUGCUAUAUCGAGUUGUGCACCAGUAAGCUCUUUUUUUGGGUCACUAGUGAUGUUCCACUGUCAGCCAAGAUGUGGUUACUAAGCUGGAUACGUGUUAAUUCUUUUCUAAUCGUGUCCCAAUUCUCCACCAACACAAUAAAUACAAAGAAUUUUUCUACCUAUCAAUCACUUUCUAGCGCAAGCAAUGAAAUGGGUUGCUGUACAGUUUGUGCACAUGUUCUGUUUUUAAUUAUUUGCAGAGUGAAUGGUGUCGGUAGGACGUAGAGUCAUCCAUGUGGCAUGCGGAAACAACAGCUUUCAGGCUGCCAUUCCUGUCACUUGUCUGUCACAGUUCCUUAGCGAAGAAGUCCCAUAGUGUGUUCAUUGUUUGGACAUUUAUCACCCUGUAAAGAUUUAUUUCCAAGUUAAUUGGUAAAUAACAGUUG
This is an RNA transcript of Bufo gargarizans (Asiatic toad), 3923 nucleotides long. It is a transcript of the gene named HECT domain and ankyrin repeat containing E3 ubiquitin protein ligase 1, with no coding region annotated. The transcript is spliced from 22 exons. Lineage: Eukaryota; Metazoa; Chordata; Amphibia; Anura; Bufonidae. The record is from RefSeq and is a predicted model, not a curated record.